AAAUUAUAAGAAGGGACCCAACACAGAAAAUUCAUUUUAUUGAAUUUUACAUUUAUGUGCAAGUUGGGCAAAGUGUCUUAUUUUUUAAAAGUAUUUCAAAGUAAAAUUACAUGUUAAUACGUAGUAUUAAUGGCGAGACUCCUGAGGGAGCAGUGCCAGUCGAAGACCAAGGCUGAGACGGUACCCUAGGAAAGCGAAGCCAUUCAAUACGAAGUAUUGUAUAAAUAGAGAACAGCAG
RNAcentral lists this non-coding RNA (238 nucleotides) under Staphylococcus aureus. It matches the Rfam family "S. aureus tsr24 small RNA". The record is from RNAcentral. Lineage: Bacteria; Bacillati; Bacillota; Bacilli; Caryophanales; Staphylococcaceae.